GAUCAUGGCGUCAGGAUGAACGCUAGCUACAGGCUUAACACAUGCAAGUCGAGGGGCAUCAGGACGAUAGCUUGCUAUUGUCGCUGGCGACCGGCGCACGGGUGAGUAACGCGUAUCCAACCUGGCCCUUAGUAGGAACAGCCCGGCGAAAGUCGGAUUAAUGCCCUAUGUUUUCCCAUGAGAGCAUUUGAAAGGGAAUAAAGAUUUAUCGCUAAGGGAUGGGGGAUGCGUCUGAUUAGGUAGUAGGCGGGGUAACGGCCCACCUAGCCGACGAUCAGUAGGGGUUCUGAGAGGAAGGUCCCCCACAUUGGUACUGAGACACGGACCAAACUCCUACGGGAGGCAGCAGUGAGGAAUAUUGGUCAAUGGGCGAGAGCCUGAACCAGCCAAGUAGCGUGCAGGAUGACGGCCCUAUGGGUUGUAAACUGCUUUUGUGCGGGAAUAAAGUCAGGGACGCGUCCCUGUUUGCAUGUACCGUACGAAUAAGGACCGGCUAAUUCCGUGCCAGCAGCUGC
This 515-nucleotide ribosomal RNA is filed under the name uncultured bacterium. Its description in RNAcentral is "bacterial SSU rRNA". It matches the Rfam family "Bacterial small subunit ribosomal RNA", at positions 15 to 518 of the family's 1533-position model. The record is from RNAcentral.